GCCUGGCUGGCUCAAUCAGUGGAGCAUGUGACUGUUGAUCUCAGGGUUGUGAGUUUGAGCCCCAUGUUGGGUG
RNAcentral lists this transfer RNA (73 nucleotides) under Ailuropoda melanoleuca (giant panda). It matches the Rfam family "tRNA". From Rfam's summary of the family: Transfer RNA (tRNA) molecules are approximately 80 nucleotides in length. Their secondary structure includes four short double-helical elements and three loops (D, anti-codon, and T loops). Lineage: Eukaryota; Metazoa; Chordata; Mammalia; Carnivora; Ursidae. The record is from Rfam by way of RNAcentral.